Molecule: ribosomal RNA, 528 nt
Filed under: uncultured bacterium
Lineage: Bacteria
Description: bacterial SSU rRNA
Rfam family: Bacterial small subunit ribosomal RNA
Source: RNAcentral
AAUAGAUACCCUGGUAGUCCAUGCCGUAAACGUUGGGCGCUAGAUGUGGGGACCAUUCCACGGUUUCCGUGUCGCAGCUAACGCAUUAAGCGCCCCGCCUGGGGAGUACGGCCGCAAGGCUAAAACUCAAAGGAAUUGACGGGGGCCCGCACAAGCGGCGGAGCAUGCGGAUUAAUUCGAUGCAACGCGAAGAACCUUACCAAGGCUUGACAUAUACGAGAACGCUCUAGAAAUAGAGAACUCUUUGGACACUCGUGUACAGGUGGUGCAUGGUUGUCGUCAGCUCGUGUCGUGAGAUGUUGGGUUAAGUCCCGCAACGAGCGCAACCCUCGUUCUAUGUUGCCAGCGGUUCGGCCGGGAACUCAUAGGAGACUGCCGGGGUCAACUCGGAGGAAGGUGGGGAUGACGUCAAAUCAUCAUGCCCCUUAUGUCUUGGGCUUCACGCAUGCUACAAUGGCCGGUACAAAGGGCUGCAAUACCGUAAGGUGGAGCGAAUCCCAAAAAGCCGGUCUCAGUUCGGAUUGAGGU